GACCCUUUCUGCAAAGAGGCAUGGUAAAUCCUCUUAUAGUGGUUGUAGACAGCCACAGAAAGCACCUUUUUGGCUCUGUCUUGACCUAUAACGAACUUAUCAAGUCCCUUGCAAAUCUCCUUUGGCGUGGGCAAAUCCUUCCCCAAAUUAGAUCCACCCCAUCCAGCAGUCCUUUCCCCUCCUCCAGCUGGUCCAGUGGCUCUAAUCACAUUACAUUAACCCGGGGAGCAAAUGGCGGGCCAGGUGGAGUAUGAACUGCAAGGACAUUCUCACCAGGGGGCGGCCAAUUCUCAGGUGGGUCCCCUGCGUAGGUCCUGAGAGUAUCCCAAAAGGAAGCCCUGAGUCCAUUGGUGUAAUCCUCCUGGGAAUCCUCAGCGGCGUUAUUAUUGGAUUGUUUGGAGGAGUUUCUGUUCUUUGGUUUAUUGUUACUAACUCUGCCAAUUUCAAUAAAGCUACCCUGAAGAG
RNAcentral lists this unclassified non-coding RNA (465 nucleotides) under Hevea brasiliensis (rubber tree). Lineage: Eukaryota; Viridiplantae; Streptophyta; Magnoliopsida; Malpighiales; Euphorbiaceae. The record is from RNAcentral.